CCAUGGGAGUGCUCUUGCAUCCCUUUGCUUUCUUCACGUGCGUCCAUAGGCUCCUGGUUUAGUGGCUGUGUGGAGUCUGGCACCUCAUCUGUGAUCAAUGAGUCCCUUAGAAGAAAACGCAGCGCCAUCACUAGAUUUCUUGCCAUGCCACUAGACAUGGUCUAAAAAUGUUGAUCUCCUCUAUGAAGAGCUGCUCACAAAUUAAAGCCUGAAAAGGGGAAGCUCGAAUGAAGCUAAAUGCCUUCAAAAAGAAGUGUAAAGCAGGAAAAACACAAUGGCUAGAAAACCAGUUACUUUUGGACCAAACAGAAAAAAGGAAAUCAGUAAAGAUGUCAUUUGUUACUCUAACAAUAAAUAGGAAUAAAUAUUAAAAUCAAUACUAAUUUUUAAAUAAAUGCA
This is a long non-coding RNA of Neopsephotus bourkii (Bourke's parrot), 399 nucleotides long. RefSeq lists it as uncharacterized. The record is from RefSeq and is a predicted model, not a curated record. The transcript is spliced from 2 exons. NCBI's taxonomy places the organism in Eukaryota, Metazoa, Chordata, Aves, Psittaciformes, Psittacidae.